GAUCCAUUAGCUCAGCGGAGAGAGCGGCCGCCUCCUAAGCGGCAGGUCGGACGUUCAAGUCGUCCAUGGAUCA
This 73-nucleotide transfer RNA is filed under the name Treponema pallidum. Its description in RNAcentral is "tRNA-Arg". The record is from RNAcentral. RNAcentral also lists the same sequence under 16 other names. Lineage: Bacteria; Pseudomonadati; Spirochaetota; Spirochaetia; Treponematales; Treponemataceae.